UAACAGAAAAAUGCAUCUGUAGGAAGCAAUAUUAUUAGCUCCUUUAUUCUUCAAUAAUAAAUGUGGAAGGCAGAAUUUUUUUAUUUUUGUACAAAGAAAAGAAUAUGCUUAUCCAAAUCUUUGUAUGAUACUGUCUCAUUGUUCUCAUUGUCCCAAUGACCCAGAGCUUCACAACCUCUAAACCAGGGUGACAAAGGUUGACUCACUUAGCUUCUUUUUCUUGUCUCCAGUGAUCCAGAGCUUCACAACCUCUGAACCAGGGUGGCAAAGAUUGACAUACUUAGCUUCUUUAUCUUGUCUUCUAUAGUUUAGUUUCAGACACAGGCUCAAAUUCUUGUGGACUCUUCUAGGUGCUAUGAGUAUGACACUUUAGUACUCUAUGUGCCACUUUUCUUUGUUAACCUACAAUGGUAUAACUAUAUUACAUGUAUACAGAUCCAUAUCUUUACACUACUGCAACCUCUGUAGCUUUCUUAGAAUGGCUCUCUUUGAUAAAUCUUACAUAGAGGUCUGUCCUGCUUGAGUCACACUCUGGAAGGGUAGCAUUUCGACCUCCUUCCGACAUGCUCUUCACAAAUUGCACUAGAUUCCGCCAAUUUUCUGGCUCAAACAACCGUUUGUUCAUCCGUAAGAAUGUAAAUGCACUCAAUCCAUUUCCAGAAUCUGACAUGCUUGUUGCCAAAACUUGAGAAAAUGCUCCUCCAUCAUACCUUUCUAGAGCAUUUUCUCCAGCAAGUUCUACUUCAGCAGUUCUAGCUGCAGUUUUAACUUGUCGAACUAAGCCUUCUGGUGAGCAGUUUGCACUCUGGGGCUGUUCACCAUCCCUCAUUUCCAUACAUGUAAAGUUAAGUACAACACCGUGUUUCGCUAACAUACGUGCUAUAGGUAGAUAACCAUCUCUGUGUCUUGUAUUAUAAUAUCCUGCUGUUAACUCUGCAGCAUGUGAUCUAGUAUUGUAAUGCCAAUGAAUUCCAGCUAUCUUUCCAGAUAGUUUAGCCCCAGUUCCUUGGUAUAUACUUUCUCCUGCUGCUAGUAUUCUGUCACCAUGCUCCAGUAGCUUUCCUGAAUACCACUCUAGGAAGAACUGUCCAUAGUCACUAUUCCAUGUUCCAUCCCGUUGGAAAAAUCCAGUAUCCUCGGGAAACUGGUUGUACUGCCCAGAAUCAUGAGGCCCUCCCUGGCCCCAGUCAUCCUUUCCAGUUGCCUUGGCUGCUGCCGCCAAUGAAGCUCUCAUGUACUUGUCAUAGCAUUGGAAUUCUCCAAUUCCAGGAAACCUCCAUGUACCAUUGCUUUCUGGAUAGGCUGGGUAUCUUAGCUCUCCACAAGGACCCAUUCCCACUUGGAUUUCCACUAUGAUGUUUCCCAAGUAAUUGUUGAAUCUCUCUCUGAAGCUCCUCAUAUAGUCAGUGUAUACUUGAAUAGGUGUUCUUCCUUUGAGUACUGGUAACAUAUCACAACCUAAGGAUAGAUACUCGGGAUUUCUCCGGCCUGAUCUAUCUGUGUAGACAAGGUCAGGAUUCUUACUGAUUUCUUCGAGUACCCAUGGAGGUAGAGGAAUACUGCAGGAGUCUCCAACAUUUCCUCCACACUGAUGAAAAGACAUGACAACUUGAAGCUUCAACCCAUGUUCUCGACACAUAUUUACAAGUUCAGCAUAUCCUUCCCAAUUAUACUUCAAAGGUCCAUCUUUCUCCACCAAUCCCCACCAAGCAUCCACCAUCACCCCUUCAGCUCCAGAACUUUUCAACGCCAUCAAACUCGCAUUCAUCGCUCGUGGCCUGUUCAAGUUCCCUCCCAUAGUCAUGGUGUCAAGUGGAAGCAUCACAAAAACAGGUACCCUUGUACUACUAUUGCUAUGAUUAGCUGUUAACUCAUGUAGCUUCUCUCUUUUCUCAAUUUUCCUCACUUCCAUGAUUCUCUCAUGGGAGAGUUGAGCUUCUUGCAUCGAACUUUUCGCAACUAGCCGACAUGAUGAUGGCUUGGCUUGUGCAAAAGAAACCAUUCCUAAGAACUCAUCAGGUGUUUUAACACCUUUGGUUUCUUUGAAAUUGAUAAAAGAAGCUGAUGAUUGAAGUGUUAAAGUCAUUUCUUGUUUCUGAUGUUUGAUAGUAAAUAGAUAAACAGAAUGUGUAGUUUUUGAUAAUAG
This 2146-nucleotide unclassified non-coding RNA is filed under the name Hevea brasiliensis (rubber tree). Lineage: Eukaryota; Viridiplantae; Streptophyta; Magnoliopsida; Malpighiales; Euphorbiaceae. The record is from RNAcentral.